CAAAGCGAAUUCAACUAAGAUCCCUGAUCUCUAUGUUCUCUGACUACAACUUAACCUUUCGGCAAUUUGCGAAAGUGUACGCUUGAGGUAACUUCUAAAUUUGGCUGUGGACACACAGGAUUCAGAGUAGGAUGUGGGGAACAUGGAGUAUGAACGAUUAAGGUCAGAUAAAGCAACAUCUCCUUCAUCUUCGGUCACAUCUCCACAAAGUGACCAGUCACUGGAUAGACCUAUAUGGUUCAAGGAUGGAUCUCAUAGUUUUCUGGGGACUGAAAGGUACUGUAUUCUAAUUUAGAAUUAGAGUGCCAAACUUCUGUCAAUUUAUGUAUAAGACCAUAUGUAUAAGAUGGAACAGAGCAUAAAAACGGGAAUAAAAGGUGCAGUAUUUGCA
Long non-coding RNA from Cyprinus carpio (common carp), 391 nucleotides. Lineage: Eukaryota; Metazoa; Chordata; Actinopteri; Cypriniformes; Cyprinidae. The record is from Ensembl.